UACGUAGGGGGCAAGCGUUGUCCGGAUUCAUUGGGCGUAAAGAGCGUGUAGGCGGCCAGGUAGGUCGGUUGUGAAAACUGGAGGCUCAACCUUCAGAGGUCGACCGAAACCAUCUGGCUAGAGACCGGGAGAGGAGAGUGGAAUUCCUGGUGUAGCGGUGAAAUGCGCAGAUAUCAGGAAGAACACCCGUGGCGAAAGCGGCUCUCUGGAACGGUACUGACGCUGAGACGCGAAAGCGUGGGGAGCAAACAGG
Molecule: ribosomal RNA, 253 nt
Filed under: uncultured bacterium
Lineage: Bacteria
Description: partial 16S ribosomal RNA
Rfam family: Bacterial small subunit ribosomal RNA
Source: RNAcentral